GACCAGGCUAUGAGAGCGCUUUUCAGAAGCGCUUUAGUAGCCUUUAUUACUAAAAAUUAAAAACCAAAACACGCGUUACUGUUUCUCAUUUCUCUCUUUCGUUUUCUGCAGAACCCUUCCGUCCACCACUGUUCUUCAUCCACAAACCCUCACUGCACGCGAAACCCUUCCGUCCACCACCAUCGGCAACCACCGUCGGCGUCCCUCCGUCGGCUUCUCCUCCGUCACUCGUUUUAUCCACCGCCGGCCAAAGAAGUAGCAGAACUCAGACAAAAAAUUGCAUUGAAAGAAUCUGUUCUUGAAGUUACGUACUUUGAAGUCUCUGGUUUCUACUUGUACAACGCCGAUUCAAACCUACCCAUCUCCCACAUCAAGUCUAUAACUCAGG
Vicia villosa (hairy vetch) is the source of this 388-nucleotide long non-coding RNA. RefSeq lists it as uncharacterized. The transcript has 3 exons. Lineage: Eukaryota; Viridiplantae; Streptophyta; Magnoliopsida; Fabales; Fabaceae. The record is from RefSeq and is a predicted model, not a curated record.